This 333-nucleotide ribosomal RNA is filed under the name Bacteroides fragilis str. Korea 419. Its description in RNAcentral is "bacterial SSU rRNA". It matches the Rfam family "Bacterial small subunit ribosomal RNA", at positions 1186 to 1527 of the family's 1533-position model. The record is from RNAcentral. Lineage: Bacteria; Pseudomonadati; Bacteroidota; Bacteroidia; Bacteroidales; Bacteroidaceae.
CAAAUCAGCACGGCCCUUACGUCCGGGGCUACACACGUGUUACAAUGGGGGGUACAGAAGGCAGCUAGCGGGUGACCGUAUGCUAAUCCCAAAAGCCUCUCUCAGUUCGGAUCGAAGUCUGCAACCCGACUUCGUGAAGCUGGAUUCGCUAGUAAUCGCGCAUCAGCCACGGCGCGGUGAAUACGUUCCCGGGCCUUGUACACACCGCCCGUCAAGCCAUGGGAGCCGGGGGUACCUGAAGUACGUAACCGCAAGGAUCGUCCUAGGGUAAAACUGGUGACUGGGGCUAAGUCGUAACAAGGUAGCCGUACCGGAAGGUGCGGCUGGAACACC